CCUACGGGAGGCAGCAGUGAGGAAUAUUGGUCAAUGGGCGGGAGCCUGAACCAGCCAAGUCGCGUGAGGGAAGACGGUCCUACGGAUUGUAAACCUCGUUUGCCGGGGAGCAACGGGGUCCUUGCGAGGGCCCAAUGAGAGGACCCGGAGAAAAAGCAGCGGCUAACUCCGUGCCAGCAGCCGCGGUAAUACGGAGGAUGCGAGCGUUAUCCGGAUUUAUUGGGUUUAAAGGGUGCGUAGGCGGGCUGUUAAGUCAGCGGUCCAAUGUCGGGGCUCAACCCCGGCCUGCCGUUGAAACUGGCGGCCUCGAGUGGGCGAGAAGUAUGCGGAAUGCGUGGUGUAGCGGUGAAAUGCAUAGAUAUCACGCAGAACUCCGAUUGCGAAGGCAGCAUACCGGCGCCCUACUGACGCUGAGGCACGAACGCGUGGGUAUCGAACAGGAUUAGAUACCCCUGUAGUC
This 460-nucleotide ribosomal RNA is filed under the name uncultured bacterium. RNAcentral describes it as "partial 16S ribosomal RNA". It matches the Rfam family "Bacterial small subunit ribosomal RNA", at positions 338 to 795 of the family's 1533-position model. The record is from RNAcentral.